CGCGGGCUGGUGUAGAGGUCGCACGCAAGGCUCUGAAUCUUGAGAUGGCAGUUCGAUUCUGUCGCCCGCAA
This 71-nucleotide transfer RNA is filed under the name Inoviridae sp. Its description in RNAcentral is "tRNA-Gln". It matches the Rfam family "tRNA". From Rfam's summary of the family: Transfer RNA (tRNA) molecules are approximately 80 nucleotides in length. Their secondary structure includes four short double-helical elements and three loops (D, anti-codon, and T loops). Lineage: Floreoviria; Loebvirae; Hofneiviricota; Faserviricetes; Tubulavirales; Inoviridae. The record is from RNAcentral.